RNAcentral lists this ribosomal RNA (510 nucleotides) under uncultured Actinomycetes bacterium. RNAcentral's name for it is "bacterial SSU rRNA". It matches the Rfam family "Bacterial small subunit ribosomal RNA", at positions 376 to 896 of the family's 1533-position model. The record is from RNAcentral. Lineage: Bacteria; Bacillati; Actinomycetota; Actinomycetes.
CGGAAGCCUGAUCCAGCAACGCCGCGUGAGGGAUGACGGCCUUCGGGUUGUAAACCUCUUUCAGUACCGACGAAGCGAAAGUGACGGUAGGUACAGAAGAAGCACCGGCCAACUACGUGCCAGCAGCCGCGGUAAUACGUAGGGUGCGAGCGUUGUCCGGAAUUAUUGGGCGUAAAGGGCUCGUAGGCGGUUUGUCGCGUCGGGAGUGAAAACACUGGGCUUAACUCAGUGCUUGCUUCCGAUACGGGCAGACUAGAGGUAUGCAGGGGAGAACGGAAUUCCUGGUGUAGCGGUGAAAUGCGCAGAUAUCAGGAGGAACACCGGUGGCGAAGGCGGUUCUCUGGGCAUUACCUGACGCUGAGGAGCGAAAGUGUGGGGAGCGAACAGGAUUAGAUACCCUGGUAGUCCACACCGUAAACGUUGGGCGCUAGGUGUGGGAUCCAUUCCACGGGUUCCGUGCCGCAGCUAACGCAUUAAGCGCCCCGCCUGGGGAGUACGGCCGCAAGGCUA